This 107-nucleotide small nucleolar RNA is filed under the name Gossypium arboreum. RNAcentral's name for it is "Plant small nucleolar RNA R71". It matches the Rfam family "Plant small nucleolar RNA R71". From Rfam's summary of the family: R71 is a member of the C/D box family of snoRNAs containing the C (UGAUGA) and D (CUGA) box motifs. Multiple nearly identical copies of this snoRNA have been identified in Arabidopsis, and it is thought to function as a 2'-O-ribose methylation guide for 18S ribosomal RNA. Lineage: Eukaryota; Viridiplantae; Streptophyta; Magnoliopsida; Malvales; Malvaceae. The record is from Rfam by way of RNAcentral.
AUCCCAUGAUGAGGACACUAACGAAGUAACUACUUGAAUCGCUCCCAAGACUUAUACAAAGACUCGUCAUCCAAUUGCGGGAAAGUUGUGAUCUCGUUUCUCAACUC